GACGAACGCUGGCGGCGUGCUUAACACAUGCAAGUCGAACGGAAAGGCCCUGCUUUUGUGGGGUGCUCGAGUGGCGAACGGGUGAGUAACACGUGAGUAACCUGCCCUUGACUUUGGGAUAACUUCAGGAAACUGGGGCUAAUACCGGAUAGGAGCUCCUGCUGCAUGGUGGGGGUUGGAAAGUUUCGGCGGUUGGGGAUGGACUCGCGGCUUAUCAGCUUGUUGGUGGGGUAGUGGCUUACCAAGGCUUUGACGGGUAGCCGGCCUGAGAGGGUGACCGGCCACAUGGGGACUGAGAUACGGCCCAGACUCCUACGGGAGGCAGCAGUGGGGAAUAUUGCACAAUGGGCGGAAGCCUGAUGCAGCAACGCCGCGUGCGGGAUGACGGCCUUCGGGUUGUAAACCGCUUUCGCCUGUGACGAAGCGUGAGUGACGGUAAUGGGUAAGAAGCACCGGCUAACUACGUG
Molecule: ribosomal RNA, 467 nt
Filed under: uncultured bacterium
Lineage: Bacteria
Description: partial 16S ribosomal RNA
Rfam family: Bacterial small subunit ribosomal RNA
Source: RNAcentral